Thunnus maccoyii (southern bluefin tuna) is the source of this 237-nucleotide long non-coding RNA. RefSeq lists it as uncharacterized. The record is from RefSeq and is a predicted model, not a curated record. The transcript is spliced from 3 exons. Lineage: Eukaryota; Metazoa; Chordata; Actinopteri; Scombriformes; Scombridae.
AACUGUUGGAGUUGUUGCUGCUCUCCUGGUUAUAAUACCACUCACUGUCUUCUUCUGGAUUAGGAGAAAGAGGUCCUCCAGCCGUUCUCCUAGACUUGAAACAUCAGACAAUAUGGAGCAGCUAAACCCUGGUCCUGUGUAUGAAGACAUCUCAGCUCAGGCAACAGAGCAGGAUGACCUUUACUAUAGCAGAAUCAACUUCUCUAAGAACCAGACAGAACAGACGCAUGUCCUCUA